GCAUCGAUGAAGAACGCAGCGAACUGCGAUACGUAAUGCGAAUUGCAGAAUUCAGUGAGUCAUCGAAAUUUUGAACGCAUAUUGCACUUCCGGGUUAUGCCUGGAAGUAUGUCUGUAUCAGUGUCCGUAAAUCAAACUUGCCUUUCUUCCUUCCGUGUAGUCGGUGGAGGAGAGUUGCAGAUGUGAAGUGUCUCGCUGUGGUUGGUAUAUUUGUUUAUGCACAACUUGCGAGUCCUUUUAAAUGGACACGACUUUCUCUUUUNNGGAUUCUGCGCGGGNGCUUGUGCGUGAACGCGNNNGGNNUUUCGGAUACGCUCGCGGCUGUCGGCGAACUCCGGUGAAUGCAUUAUGGAGUGGACCUCGAUUCGCGGUAUGUUGGGCUUCGGCUGGACAAUGUUGCUUAUUGGGUGUUUGUUCCGCGNUCGCCUUGAGGUGUACUGGUGNCUGUGGGAUUGAACUGGUUACUGUUGUUAGUAGUGUGCGGCUCGUUGUCGUGGAUGCAUCUGUGUUUUUGCACUUGUGCAAUUGACAGAAGAGGAGUCUCAAUUUGGGAAAUUAGUGUACUCCGGGUUUGAUCCUGCGUGUAUAUCUCAAUUGGACCUGAUAUCAGACAAGACUACCCGCUGAACUUAAGCAUAUCAAUAAGCGGAGGA
Molecule: ribosomal RNA, 653 nt
Rfam family: 5.8S ribosomal RNA (bases 1-126)